AGAAGAUGAAUUGAAUACUGUCAGAUCAUUUGUUUAUCAUUAAAUAAUUAGUUAUAGCACACUUUUCUAUUCACAAUAUUUAAAAGUGUCCAUCACUUUACUUGCUCCAGCUUUAAAAUGUUUGUGAGCAUUACCUUUUUUUUCUUCUUCAAAUUUUUCUAUUGUUUUGUUUUUCACCAAUACAAAUGAAAAAGAGUAGAUAGUGACACCUUGUGGCAGUGCCUCAUUCUUUGGUACUUGUUGUAAUUUUACUUUCCCCCCCCAAUUCAUUUAAGCUAAACGUCACAGUCCCUCUGAGUUGAUUGGAGGAUAUUCAGAUCACCUGUUGGCUCCUGAUUAACAAUUGAGAGCAGCUUGGUGCAUUUCCCCUCUCGGCCAAUCAGAGUGAGACGACGGCCUUUCUUUAGGUCUUAAGAGAGGUAGAGAACUGCACACCAAGGACCUUCUGAUGCUUCCGUCACUGAAUGCACACCUUUCCACUAGGUUACCUGCAUCAUCAUCAUUAUUAUUAUUUUUUAAAUCAAAACCCUCUUUAUUGCAUAACUCCUUUUCAUCAAAGAGGCAUUUAUUUAUUAUUAAGAGGAAUUUGUUGUGAUUGAAGAGGCAUUUUUCAUUGUUUCAUUUUCAUUUCUCCAAGUACAUUUUUAUUUUAAUCUUUUUUUUUUUUUUUUUUUUAUAUAAAUGGAGGUUGAGAACUGGUUCCCAGACUUCUUCCCAAUCAGCUGAAAUAUGGUGGUGAAACCAGUCGCUGGAGAUGAUGGAUUAGAAACUGAAAUAACUUUCCUAGAUGACUCAUCUCUGAAUAUUGAGGUACUGUCUGAGCAAGUCCAUCACCACCGCCUUCAUGUGACCCCGGAUACCACUGCGAUACCUGUUGGGAGACAAAUACCGUCUUGCCUGACACAAAGAAGAAUGCAGCUUGUUCCAGGCCUAUAGUGUUCAAUAAGUUGCCACAUUGUGUCGUAGGCUGUACUGUACAUGUGAGUGAUCAACGUGGGAGGUUUUGCAUUAUAAAUAUUGAGAGAGAGAGAGAGAGCGAGAGAGAGAGCGAGAGAGAGAGAGAUCACUUACUUCUGCACCAGCUGCACAAUGCUUUGUGUGUUCAUAAAGAAGACUUCUCUCUCUGACUUCUUGUUAAGAGUCGCAGCAUGGCUGUCCAGGAUGUUUGCAAUCUGGUAAAAUAAACAACACAAGAAUUAACAGCAGUGUCGACUCAUAAGCAUUUAUGAGCCCUCAGUUAGCUCCCUUUGUUUCCAGAGUGGGAUCCUAACUGGGUGUGAGAUUUGUGAUUAAAAUGUAGAGAUUUAAUCUAAUUAGAAGUAUUUUUAUUACUACUCACAUUAGUGUACUGGCCUUUCCUUACACGCACGCACAGGAUUUCAAUUACAGUAAUAUUUUUAGACUUUUUCUUUAAAAGUGUUUUUUUAUUUGCAUUAUGGUGUUUUAAAAUAAAGCAACAAUACCCUAACACU
Cottoperca gobio is the source of this 1472-nucleotide long non-coding RNA. RefSeq lists it as uncharacterized. The record is from RefSeq and is a predicted model, not a curated record. Lineage: Eukaryota; Metazoa; Chordata; Actinopteri; Perciformes; Bovichtidae. The transcript has 2 exons.